RNAcentral lists this ribosomal RNA (253 nucleotides) under uncultured bacterium. RNAcentral describes it as "partial 16S ribosomal RNA". It matches the Rfam family "Bacterial small subunit ribosomal RNA", at positions 524 to 776 of the family's 1533-position model. The record is from RNAcentral.
UACAGAGGUCUCAAGCGUUGUUCGGAAUCACUGGGCGUAAAGGGUGCGUAGGCGGCGUGGAAAGUCAGAUGUGAAAUCCGGGGGCUCAACCUCCGAAUUGCAUCCGAUACUACCAUGCUAGAGAACUGGAGGGGAGUCUGGAAUUCUUGGUGUAGCAGUGAAAUGCAUAGAUAUCAAGAGGAACACUAGUGGCGAAGGCGAGACUCUGGACAGUAGCUGACGCUCAUGCACGAAGGUCAGGGUAGCGAACGGG